RNAcentral lists this long non-coding RNA (718 nucleotides) under Anser brachyrhynchus (Pink-footed goose). RNAcentral's name for it is "lncRNA (ENSABRG00000003867.1)". The record is from RNAcentral. Lineage: Eukaryota; Metazoa; Chordata; Aves; Anseriformes; Anatidae.
AAAUCCACCAAUUUUUUAGUACUAUCUCUGUCAGACUUCAGUGGUCUUUGAGGAAGAGAAUUCUUUUUAGCACUGUAGGUCUUAGAAAAAGGAUAAAACAGAAAUGCUCAAACAACUCUAAGUGUCUGUCUCAAGGGAGUCAAGCUUAAACCAUCAUUUAAUCUCUGGUAUGCUGAGACUAGAGGUCUGGGAAAGAAUGUUUCUGUAAAGCAAAACCGGUGAAUUUGGGACUUUUGUUCCUUUUCUGCAAGAACAAGAUUAUUCCGUGCUUCCAGUGCCAUUGUGAAAAAUAACUCACAUAUUUUGAGACCAAAAAUGUCAAGAUGAUUGCAGAUUUGCAAGUAUUGAGCAGAAGCAUCUCUGGAAGACUGGGGAACCUGCCGUGGCAUAAUGCUCGGUAAGAAAUGAGUAAGAAGGCAGGGAAGGAAGCGUUUAUACGAGCUAAAGACGAAACUGCAGCAAGGAAGAAAAAGAGAUGAAAAGGGCUUCUUUCUACAGAAAGACAGACUGGAAGGGGCUGCUAAACAUGAAGAAAAAAGCAUUCACUUCCUGCAGAUCCACAAGGCUGGAAAAGAGAAUCUUUCUAGAAUCAGUUUUUCAGCUGGGGCAGAUGGAUCCUUAACUGCAGGGUUGAUGCAUCUUUGGGUCACAGGGGGGAAAGAUUUUUUGGAGGAAAAACCACCAAACAGAUGGUGAGCUUUUUUUUUUUUUUUUUUUU